AAGAAAAUACUUUUAUCCUGAAGAGUUUAAUGAUUUUUUGAGUGAUCUUAAUAGCAAUUUUUAAUUACUAAAAUAUACAUUAUUUAAAUAGUGAAGAUUAGAUGAUGCACUUAAAAUUUAAAGUUGCAGUAGCAUUGCAGCCUAGGAAUUCAAUAGCAACAAAACAAGCACAAAAGGCAGGUAGUAUCUUGCUAACUAAAUUUCAAGUUUAGAGAAUGAAAAAUGAAUUUGUAAAUAUCUCAAAAAAUGUAUAAAUGAAACUCUGCAGAAAAUUGGUUGUAUACUUCUUAGAAUCAGAAUCAUCUAUGCAUGAUUUUCAUGUGAUUUUUGAGGAUUUCAUAAAAUUUUUUUAUUUGUUCCAUUAUUUCCUUUUUAAUUCCUAUUUUCUUUGUGUGUUUUGUGUGUUCCAAUAAGCAAAUCAGUUUUUCUGAUGUCAGAUAACUAUUUGAAUAAACGAAGAAAUCCAUGAAAAUGAAAGGUGUAUGCAUGGUUGAAUCCUGAUAUAAAAGCUAUAUAAGGUUAUAUAUAUAUAUCUCUGAUUUUCAGAUAAAAUUAGUAUCAUAAAAUUUUUUAAAAAUUUUAUUAUUGUGAUUUACAAUGUUCUGUCAAUUUCUGAUAUACAACAAAAUGAGCCUGUCAAAAAAUUUAAAAUUAUUUCCUGUUUAGUGUGUGUGCAGAUGUACUUUUGCUGCUUAUAGUGAUUUCCAUGUAUUUAUUUUGUUUUUACCUUUUUCUUUUGGGGAGUAUGAAAUAUGAAAAAAUGCAAUAUUUUUGUUUCUAAAUUUGAUGAGUUUUCAGUUUUUUAUGUGGAAAACAAAAGAAGGAUAGCAGGGAGGAAGGGAGUAUAGAAAAGAGGGAGGGAGGAAGAAAGGAAGGAAAAAAGGGAAGAAAGCAGGAAGGAAGAGAGAGACAGAGACACAGAAAGAGAGGAAUUAGGGUGGGAGGAAGGAAGCAAGAAAAGAAGGGAAUGCCUGCUUUCCCUUCUGGGAAAGGGGAAGCCCAGCUAGGAGUUAGCAGUGGGCCAGUCUGCCCACAACAGCAUUGCUCACAGAGCCCCAACGAGCCAUCCCAUCCCCCAUCUCACACUUUCCAGAAGUAGCAGUGGUGGUCCCAAGCUGCCCACAGAAGCCUCAGCCACAGAGCUAGGGCAGGCUAACCUAUCUCCAGCCUCAAACCUCCUAGCAGCAAGCUGCUGUGCUCCCAGCAGUGUUGUCAGCAAAUCACAGAGGUCAGACAGAUCACAUAUGCUAAACUGAAACAGGUCAACUGCCUGCUAGAAGUGAACAUAUAGAUAGAAAACAAAGCAAAUCUUCUAAUGUAUAUUUAAAUGGCCAGGAUAUUGGAGUUCCUGUCGUGGCUCAGUGGAAAUGAAUCCAACUAGUAUCCAUGAGGAUGCAGGUUCUAUCUCUGGCCUCAGUCAGUGGUCUGGGGAUCUGGUGUUGCUGAGAGCAUCUGUGGUGAGAUUGCAGAUGUGGCUUGGAUCCCAAGUUGCUGUGGCUGUGGCUGUGGCUGGCAGCUGUAGCUCUGAUUUGAACCCUAGCCUUGGAACCUCCAUAUACUGCAGGUUUGGCCCUAAAAAGCAAAAAAAAAAAAAAAAAAAAAAAAAAGCCAGGAUACCAAAAAAAAAAAAAA
Molecule: long non-coding RNA, 1632 nt
Filed under: Sus scrofa (pig)
Lineage: Eukaryota; Metazoa; Chordata; Mammalia; Artiodactyla; Suidae
Description: lncRNA (ENSSSCG00060018240.1)
Source: RNAcentral